AGCCAGACAUUACAAGGACUUGCAGCACGACUGCCAGAAAGGGACUUUACGCACUGACAAUCGCUCCUGAGAAUUUCCACGUCACAGAGACUGCUAUGACGUGAGGUACAGAAUCCAAGCCUUGUUUUUCAAGACUUUGUCUAAAGCUUUACUAGUGUUAAUGUUGAGGCAGUCACCUUGGUGGCUGAAGCUGCGCUCCUUUUUGGUUUCCGGCCUAUAAUCCAUGAGCGAGAUUUGAUGAAGGAUACAUUGUCAAGAUUGUCAAAUUUCAUUUCAGAAGACGAAUCAUGCAUGUCAAUCUGGCUGCUUGUGCUCCAAGUGGACUCUGGGAAAUUCAGAAAAGUAGCCUGCACUAUGUCACUUCAAAGACCAUAAUGCUAAUCCCUGAUGAAAUUAAGUGCACUAAUUGAAUUCAGAGCCUAUUCAGAGUGAAAUUAGUCUUCUUAUUAUUUUUCAUAAAAGUAAUAUUAGCAUCAAUUUCCAUUUCUUCAAGACUGACAGGUAGAAGAUGCUGGUUCCUUUGUGGGCGUGCUCCUGGCACCAUAUAGACACAUCCUGGAGCUCAUGUUUGCUCUCACUAUUCAGUUUUGAGGAUGGAGCUGUACCUUGGACAAUUAGCCCUGUCAUUUGCAGUAAAUUGGGCAACAUUUUGACAUUGUUUUUUGGACACGUGCAUGAGGGGCCAGUAGAGUACAGAUUGGUAGGAGGAGCAACGGUAACUAGACUGCAGAAGAGUUGCCGAUGAGAAAGGUUGCCGAUGAAGGGACGAUUGAGUAUGGCUAAGUCCAGGAGUGGUGGCGCGUUCCUAACCGAUGACCAGUAUCAAUGUUUGCCGAUGGCGAUAGCAGGAAGAUUGCCGAUGGCUCCGCGGGAGUUGCCGAUUGACCCGUGGCGGUGUCCUGGUCGAUUACAAGGGGAUAGUUUUGUGUUUUUCUUAGUUAUUUAAAUCGUUUUGUAUACGGAUUCUGUUUAAUUUGGAAUUCGAGUCCUAGUCGUGUCUGAUUGUAGCUCUUUGAGCAGGGUAUAAAUGUAGACCCUAGGGCCUUGUAAGAAGAUAUCUAUCAAUUAAUCAAACACAAGUUUUUAC
RNAcentral lists this long non-coding RNA (1087 nucleotides) under Sorghum bicolor (sorghum). RNAcentral's name for it is "long non-coding RNA (SBIC_LNC008955)". The record is from RNAcentral. Lineage: Eukaryota; Viridiplantae; Streptophyta; Magnoliopsida; Poales; Poaceae.